Molecule: ribosomal RNA, 253 nt
Filed under: uncultured bacterium
Lineage: Bacteria
Description: partial 16S ribosomal RNA
Rfam family: Bacterial small subunit ribosomal RNA
Source: RNAcentral
UACGUAGGGGGCAAGCGUUGUCCGGAUUUAUUGGGCGUAAAGAGCGUGUAGGCGGCCAGGUAGGUCCGUUGUGAAAACUCGAGGCUCAACCUCGAGACGCCGAUGGAAACCCCCUGGCUAGAGUCCGGAAGAGGAGAGUGGAAUUCCUGGUGUAGCGGUGAAAUGCGCAGAUAUCAGGAGGAACACCAAUGGCGAAGGCAGAUCUCUGGGCCGUAACUGACGCUGAGGAGCGAAAGCAUGGGGAGCGAACAGG